Molecule: long non-coding RNA, 743 nt
Organism: Agrilus planipennis (emerald ash borer)
Lineage: Eukaryota; Metazoa; Arthropoda; Insecta; Coleoptera; Buprestidae
Exons: 3
Source: RefSeq, a predicted model, not a curated record
UUGUAGGUUAGUUUAUUAUGUAAUGUGUUAUUUAUACAGUUAUUCGUGUUGUAAAUAAAUUAUUUAACAUAAAAUAGCAAAAAUUGUCAGUUAAGAGUAAAUGCCAAUUAGCAGUUUUACUGCUGCAUCUAUCAUUGUGUUUCUGCAACUACAGACAAUGGAAAAACUGUGAUAGAUAGCAAGCUAUUAAAUAUCGAACCAGCUCUACCAUCAAGGCAAACUGCUAAAAGAUUGUUGAAAAAGUCUCACAGUACUUUAUCUUCUUAUGUAGAAAAAAAUCAAAAUGCUAAUUGGACAUCCAAUGAAACUAAUUUUAAUAACUGCACAGAUGGCUCAGUACGUGUAUCACGGACUACUAAAGAAAAGGAAGAAAAUCCAGACCGAAUGUGUUUAGAUAGAAAAGGCCUAACCGUCAUUCCCUUUAUAGAAGAUGAACCCAAAUUAAGACUGUUGUCAUUACAGCACAAUUUAAUAAAUAGUUUGGAAACCUUUAAAUUACAAAACUUCCCAAAUUUAGUAUUUUUAGAUAUUUAUGAUAAUCAGUUAGACAAGAUAAACGGACUAGAUAUGUUCACAAAUUUGAGGGUGUUGUUAAUGGGAAAAAAUAGAAUAAAAAGAAUGGAAGGAUUAACAAAUUUAACUAAAUUGGAAGUGCUGGACCUACAUGGCAAUAAAAUAACCCACAUAGCAGGUUUGACAAAACUCACCCAACUAAAAGUUUUGAAUUUAGCUGGAAAUCAAAU